RNAcentral lists this ribosomal RNA (591 nucleotides) under uncultured bacterium. RNAcentral's name for it is "partial 16S ribosomal RNA". It matches the Rfam family "Bacterial small subunit ribosomal RNA", at positions 355 to 1376 of the family's 1533-position model. The record is from RNAcentral.
UGGGGAAUAUUGGACAAUGGGCGCAAGCCUGAUCCAGCAAUGCCGCGUGUGUGAAGAAGGCCUUCGGGUUGUAAAGCACUUUUAUCAGGAGCGAAACGCUGUCGGCUAAUACCCGGCGGAACUGACGGUACCUGAGGAAUAAGCACCGGCUAACUUCGUGCCAGCAGCCGCGGUAAUACGAAGGGUGCAAGCGUUAAUCGGAAUUACUGGGCGUAAAGCGUGCGUAGGCGGUUUCUUAAGUCUGCUGUGAAAUCCCCGGGCCCAACCUGGGAAUGGCAGUGGAUACUGGGAGGCUAGAGUGUGUCAGAGGGUGGUGGAAUUCCCGGUGUAGCGGUGAGAUGCGUAGAGAUCGGGAGGAACAUCAGUGGCGAAGGCGGCCACCUGGGACAACACUGACGCUGAGGCACGAAAAGCGUGGGGAGCAAAACAGGAUUAGAUACCCUGGUAGUCCACGCCCUAAAACGAUGCGAACUGGAUGUUGGUCUCAACUCGGAGAUCAGUGUCGAAGCUAACGCGUUAAGUUCGCCGCCUGGGGAGUACGGUCGCAAGACUGAAACUCAAAGGAAUUGACGGGGUCAUAGCUGUUUCCUG